Molecule: non-coding RNA, 74 nt
Organism: Kogia breviceps (pygmy sperm whale)
Lineage: Eukaryota; Metazoa; Chordata; Mammalia; Artiodactyla; Physeteridae
Source: the annotation of a RefSeq genome assembly
UCCCUGGUGGUCCAGUGGUUAGGACUCUGUGCUUACCACUGCAGGGGGCACAGGUUCGAUCCCUGGUCAGGGAA